CGACGAGUUUGAUCCUGGCUCAGAUUGAACGCUGGCGGCAGGCCUAACACAUGCAAGUCGAGCGAGAAAGGUCUUCGGACUGAGUACAGCGGCGGACGGGUGAGUAAAGCGUAGGAAUCUACCUGGUAGUGGGGGAUAACUUGGGGAAACUCAAACUAAUACCGCAUACGCCCUACGGGGAAAGCGGGGGACCUUCGGGCCUCGCGCUAUCAGAUGAGCCUGCGUAGGAUUAGCUAGUUGGUGAGGUAAAGGCUCACCAAGGCGACGAUCCUUAGCUGGUCUGAGAGGAUGAUCAGCCACACUGGGACUGAGACACGGCCCAGACUCCUACGGGAGGCAGCAGUGGGGAAUAUUGCGCAAUGGGCGAAAGCCUGACGCAGCCAUGCCGCGUGUGUGAAGAAGGCCUUAGGGUUGUAAAGCACUUUCAAUUGGGAGAAAGUUGGUCGUUAAUAGCGGCCAGCCCUGACAUUACCUUUAGAAGAAGGACCGGCUAACUCCGUG
This 501-nucleotide ribosomal RNA is filed under the name uncultured bacterium. RNAcentral's name for it is "bacterial SSU rRNA". It matches the Rfam family "Bacterial small subunit ribosomal RNA", at positions 1 to 507 of the family's 1533-position model. The record is from RNAcentral.